RNAcentral lists this ribosomal RNA (460 nucleotides) under uncultured bacterium. Its description in RNAcentral is "partial 16S ribosomal RNA". It matches the Rfam family "Bacterial small subunit ribosomal RNA", at positions 338 to 795 of the family's 1533-position model. The record is from RNAcentral.
CCUACGGGUGGCAGCAGUGGGGAAUAUUGGUCAAUGGACGAGAGUCUGAACCAGCCAAGUAGCGUGAAGGAUGACUGCCCUAUGGGUUGUAAACUUCUUUUAUAUGGGAAUAAAACAAGGUAUGCAUACCCUCUUGUAUGUACCAUAUGAAUAAGGGUCGGCUAGCUCCGUGCCAGCAGCCGCGGUAAUACGGAGGGUCCGAGCGUUGUCCGGAUUGAUUGGGUUUAAAGGGAGCGUAGGUGGAUUGUUAAGUCAGUUGUGAAAGUUUGCGGCUCAACCGUAAAAUUGCAGUUGACACUGGCAGUCUGGAGUACAGUAGAGGUGGGCGGAAUUCGGGGUGUAGCGGUGAAAUGCUUAGAUAUCACGAAGAACUCCGAUGGCGAAGGCAGCUCACUGGACUGUAACUGACACUGAUGCUCGAAAGUGUGGGUAGCAAACAGGAUUAGAUACCCUUGUAGUC